AACAGGUGAAGCUUGUGAAGUGGCAGUGCAGGCUUCCUCUCAUUGUCCUGCCAAUGUGCUUAAACC
This 66-nucleotide small RNA is filed under the name Chelonoidis abingdonii (Abingdon island giant tortoise). RNAcentral describes it as "TUC338 (ENSCABG00000019585.1)". Lineage: Eukaryota; Metazoa; Chordata; Testudines; Testudinidae. The record is from RNAcentral.